RNAcentral lists this ribosomal RNA (240 nucleotides) under uncultured bacterium. RNAcentral describes it as "partial 16S ribosomal RNA". It matches the Rfam family "Bacterial small subunit ribosomal RNA", at positions 94 to 334 of the family's 1533-position model. The record is from RNAcentral.
AGCGGCGGACGGGUGAGUAACGCGUGGGUAACCUGCCUCAUACAGGGGGAUAACAGUUGGAAACGGCUGCUAAUACCGCAUAAGCGCACAGUACCGCAUGGUACGGUGUGAAAAACUCCGGUGGUAUGAGAUGGACCCGCGUCUGACUAGGUAGUUGGUGGGGUAACGGCCUACCAAGCCGACGAUCAGUAGCUGACCUGAGAGGGUGACCGGCCACAUUGGGACUGAGACACGGCCCGA